UGUUAUUGAAUAUAAAGAAAAGACGAACAGCUCAGUAACUCUUAUUUUAUUUGAUGUAUUAGGAUUAUAACUAUGUUAAAUUAUAGAUAACAAUAAUACAAUAAGAAUAAGAUCUAUCAGUUAGUUGUUAAGGUAAUGGCUUAACAAGACUAUGACGGAUAACGGUAUUACUUUGUAAUAUUCCGGAGAAGGAGCCUGAGAGAUUGCUACUAAGUCUAAGGAUUGCAGCAGGGGCGAAACUUGACCUAUGAUAUGAUAUUGAGGCAGUUAUGAGUAGUAUUUUUAAUUAUUGUAGUAUUGUAAGUAUAUACUACAAGAUAAAUCGGAGGGCAAAUCGAGUGCCAGCAGCCGCGGUAAUACUUGUUCCGAUAGUGUGUAUGAUGAUUGAUGCAGUUAAAAAGUCUGUAGUUUAUGAUUAAUAAGCAUUGUGAGGUAUAUUGUAUGGUUAGGAGAGAGAUGAAAUGUGAUAACCCUAACUGGAUGAACAGAAGCGAAAGCUAUAUACUUAAAUGUAUUAUUAGAACAAGGACGUAAGCUAGAGGAUCGAAGAUGAUUAGAUACCAUUGUAGUUCUAGCAGUAAACUAUGUUAAAUCAUAGAUACAUUUUAAUAUGUAUUUAUGUAAAGAAAUUAAGAUUAUAUUGACUCUGGGGAUAGUAUGAUCGCAAGAUUGAAAAUUAAAGAAAUUGACGGAAGAAUACCACAAGGAGUGGAUUGUGCGGCUUA
Molecule: ribosomal RNA, 725 nt
Filed under: Nosema granulosis
Lineage: Eukaryota; Fungi; Microsporidia; Nosematidae
Description: partial small subunit ribosomal RNA
Rfam family: Microsporidia small subunit ribosomal RNA
Source: RNAcentral